This 468-nucleotide ribosomal RNA is filed under the name uncultured bacterium. RNAcentral describes it as "partial 16S ribosomal RNA". It matches the Rfam family "Bacterial small subunit ribosomal RNA", at positions 28 to 507 of the family's 1533-position model. The record is from RNAcentral.
GACGAACGCUGGCGGCGUGCUUAACACAUGCAAGUCGAACGGAAAGGCCCUGCUUUUGUGGGGUGCUCGAGUGGCGAACGGGUGAGUAACACGUGAGUAACCUGCCCUUGACUUUGGGAUAACUUCAGGAAACUGGGGCUAAUACCGGAUAGGAGCUCCUGCUGCAUGGUGGGGGUUGGAAAGUUUCGGCGGUUGGGGAUGGACUCGCGGCUUAUGAGCUUGUUGGUGGGGUAGUGGCUUACCAAGGCUUUGACGGGUAGCCGGCCUGAGAGGGUGACCGGCCACAUUGGGACUGAGAGACGGCCCAGACUCCUACGGGAGGCAGCAGUGGGGAAUAUUGCACAAUGGGCGGAAGCCUGAUGCAGCAACGCCGCGUGCGGGAUGACGGCCUUCGGGGUGUAAACCGCUUUCGCCUGUGACGAAGCGUGAGUGACGGUAAUGGGUAAAGAAGCACCGGCUAACUACGUG